GGUUUUUGGGGGAAGAACAUGGAGGAAGGUGGAAGAAGGUGGUGGAAGAUGGUGGAGGAAGAUGGUGGAAAGUGGAGGAAGAUGGAGGAAGAUGGUGGAAGAUGGUGGAAGAUGGUGGAAGAUGGAGGAAGAUGGAGGAAGAUGGAGGAAGAUGGAGGAAGAUGGAGGAAGAUGGGGGAGGAAGAUGGUGGAGGAAGAUGGUGGAGGAAGAUGGUGGAGGAAGAUGGUGGAGGAAGAUGGUGGAAGAUGGUGGAAGAUGGUGGUGGAAGAUGGAGGUGGAAGAUGGAGGUGGAAGAUGGAGGUGGAAGAUGGAGGACUUGGGAGACACUGAGGGGAGGUGGAGAGUGGUGACCCGCCAUCAUGUCACCUUCCGGUCACCCAGAGGAAGAUGGUGGAAGAUGGUGGAAGAUGGUGGAAGAUGGAAGAGGAAGAUGGUGGAUGAUGGAAGGUAG
Molecule: long non-coding RNA, 452 nt
Filed under: Calidris pugnax (ruff)
Lineage: Eukaryota; Metazoa; Chordata; Aves; Charadriiformes; Scolopacidae
Description: lncRNA (ENSCPUG00000002237.1)
Source: RNAcentral